Molecule: ribosomal RNA, 461 nt
Filed under: uncultured bacterium
Lineage: Bacteria
Description: partial 16S ribosomal RNA
Rfam family: Bacterial small subunit ribosomal RNA
Source: RNAcentral
CCUACGGGUGGCAGCAGUGAGGAAUAUUGGUCAAUGGACGCAAGUCUGAACCAGCCAUGCCGCGUGCAGGAAGACGGCUCUCUGAGUUGUAAACUGCUUUUGUACGAGGGUAAACGCAGAUACGUGUAUCUGCCUGAAAGUAUCGUACGAAUAAGGAUCGGCUCACUCCGUGCCAGCAGCCGCGGUCAUACGGAGGAUUCAAGCGUUAUCCGGAUUUAUUGGGUUUAAAGGGUGCGUAGGGGGUCGGAUAAGUUAGAGCUGGAAACCCCAGGCUCAACUUCGGAAUUGCCUCUGAUACUGUUGGGAUAGAGGGUAGUAGCGGUAGGCGGAAUGUAUGGGGGAGCGGUGAAAUGCUGAGAGAUCAUACAGAACACCGAUUGCGAAGGCAGCUUACCAAGCUACUUCUGACGUUGGGGCACGAAAGCGUGGGGAGCAAACAGGAUUAGAUACCCCAGGUAGUC